GUUUCGCUGAAAUAUUAGGAGCGCAAGUUUGAGAUGAUGUUUAGAGGGCAGCGAAAUCUUGCCUCGCGAAGGCACAUUGUUUGGUGUCUCAUCUUAGUACGCUGAUUUGAGCUUGGUAGACCCCAAGUUAGUUGUGGGUCUUCCACUUUACCACGUCGAAGGAAUGAAGUAAGUUCUGCACUUUUGGCCACAUUUGAGCUCCAAAAUUGUUGCUUUCCCCACCAUUCGGAACUUGCUUGACUCCACCGACUAGUUGAAUACCUACAGUCGAGUAUAAACGUUGACAAAGUCUCAGGCUGCUUGGACUUGUAGUGGGUUGAGAUGCAACUUUUGAGGCACGACGUGGUCACAGGUAAUGAGGAUAGUCCCGCUUCGAAAGAGCUUCGUUAAUUGGGCACUAGCUCCCCCGGCUUUCUGGGACAUUGUGCUUUACACGCAAAAUCCCAAUAUCAAUGGAUCAAAAGUAUUAAUGGAUCAAAUGUAUUAAUGGAUCAAAUUCA
This 500-nucleotide long non-coding RNA is filed under the name Physcomitrium patens. RNAcentral's name for it is "long non-coding RNA (PPAT_LNC001756)". Lineage: Eukaryota; Viridiplantae; Streptophyta; Bryopsida; Funariales; Funariaceae. The record is from RNAcentral.